This 835-nucleotide ribosomal RNA is filed under the name uncultured bacterium. RNAcentral describes it as "bacterial SSU rRNA". It matches the Rfam family "Bacterial small subunit ribosomal RNA", at positions 51 to 894 of the family's 1533-position model. The record is from RNAcentral.
ACACAUGCAAGUCGAACGGUGAAGCGGGUGCUUGCACUCGUGGAUCAGUGGCGAACGGGUGAGUAACACGUGAGUAACCUGCCCUCCACUCUGGGAUAAGCGCUGGAAACGGCGUCUAAUACUGGAUAUGACCGACCCUCGCAUGGGGUGUUGGUGGAAAGAUUUAUCGGUGGUGGAUGGACUCGCGGCCUAUCAGCUUGUUGGUGGGGUAAUGGCCUACCAAGGCGACGACGGGUAGCCGGCCUGAGAGGGCGACCGGCCACACUGGGACUGAGACACGGCCCAGACUCCUACGGGAGGCAGCAGUGGGGAAUAUUGCACAAUGGGCGAAAGCCUGAUGCAGCGACGCCGCGUGAGGGAUGACGGCCUUCGGGUUGUAAACCUCUUUCAGCAGGGAAGAAGCUUUUGUGACGGUACCUGCAGAAGAAGCACCGGCUAACUACGUGCCAGCAGCCGCGGUAAUACGUAGGGUGCGAGCGUUGUCCGGAAUUAUUGGGCGUAAAGAGCUUGUAGGCGGUUUGUCGCGUCUGCUGUGAAAAUUCAGGGCUUAACCCUGGACGUGCAGUGGGUACGGGCAGACUAGAGUGUGGUAGGGGAGACUGGAAUUCCUGGUGUAGCGGUGGAAUGCGCAGAUAUCAGGAGGAACACCGAUGGCGAAGGCAGGUCUCUGGGCCAUUACUGACGCUGAGAAGCGAAAGCAUGGGGAGCGAACAGGAUUAGAUACCCUGGUAGUCCAUGCCGUAAACGUUGGGCGCUAGGCGUGGGUCUCAUUCCACGAGAUCCGUGUCGCAGCUAACGCAUUAAGCGCCCCGCCUGGGGAGUACGGCCGCAAGGC